CCUACGUGGGGCAGCAGUGAGGAAUAUUGGUCAAUGGGCGCGAGCCUGAACCAGCCAAGUAGCGUGAAGGAUGACUGCCCUACGGGUUGUAAACUUCUUUUAUAAAAGAAUAAAGUGAGGCACGUGUGCCUUUUUGUAUGUACUUUAUGAAUAAGGAUCGGCUAACUCCGUGCCAGCAGCCGCGGUAAUACGGAGGAUCCGAGCGUUAUCCGGAUUUAUUGGGUUUAAAGGAAGCGUAGAUGGGUUGUUAAGUCAGUUGUGAAAGUUUGCGGCUCAACCGUAAAAUUGCAAUUGAUACUGGCAGUCUUGAGGACAGUUGAGGUAGGCGGAAUUCGUGGUGUAGCGGUGAAAUGCUUAGAUAUCACGAAGAACUCCGAUUGCGAAGGCAGCUUACUAAACUGCCACUGACAUUGAUGCUCGAAAGUGUGGGUAUCAAACAGGAUUAGAUACCCCAGUAGUC
Molecule: ribosomal RNA, 460 nt
Filed under: uncultured bacterium
Lineage: Bacteria
Description: partial 16S ribosomal RNA
Rfam family: Bacterial small subunit ribosomal RNA
Source: RNAcentral